Non-coding RNA from Podarcis lilfordi (Lilford's wall lizard), 720 nucleotides. NCBI's taxonomy places the organism in Eukaryota, Metazoa, Chordata, Lepidosauria, Squamata, Lacertidae. The record is from the annotation of a GenBank genome assembly.
CCUGGCCACAACCACAAAUCAACAGGCGCACCAUGGGUGAUCUGAAUGAAGCUGACAGACCACUGAUGGUCCAUAGACCAACAGAUUGGGUAGCCCUGCACUGUACCAUUGCGAAUUCAUAUGAAACAUUAACAUUCCUGUAUAAAUACUUACAAUCUACACACACACACUUCCCAUAACAGCUACAACAAGACUUGGCAUCACGGUAGCAGCAGAUUCUGCCUUGCAGAAGAGUUGUCCCACUAAUACACCCUGUUACCGUAUUUUUCGCUCUAUAAGACGCACCAGACCACAAGACGCACCUAAUUUUUGGAGGAGGAAAACAAGAAAAAAAUAUUCUGAAUCUCAGAAGCCAGAACAGCAAGAGGGAUCGCUGCGCAGUGAAAGCAGCAAUCCCUCUUGCUGUUCUGGCUUUUGGGAUAGCUGUGCAGCCUGCAUUCGCUCCAUAAGACGCACACACAUUUCCCCUUACUUUUUAGGAGGGAAAGAGUGAGUCUUAUAGAGCAAAAAAUACGGUAAGUUCUUCUGGAACCCGAGUGUUAGGUCUUAAAAGUUGGGCUCUGGGUGCAACAGCUAUUUGUAAGAAAUCUCCCUGAAUCCAUCACCUUCAUAAAAGUCUUCAGCGCCAAGGGCCUUCUGGCAGUUCCCUCCCUGUGAGAAGUGAGGUUACAGGGAACCAGGCAAAGGGCCUUCUCGGUAGUGGCGCCCGCCCUGUGGAAC